AAAAAAAAAGGCUUUACACGUGAGGUGGAACAGACACAGAAUGAGAAAGAAGAUGCUUCUACACACUCAGCAGCCAUGGCAGGAAGCCUUGAAACCAGAGUUAAGCAAAUACAAGAUCUACAGGAGCAAGUGCACAAACUGACAGAACAGUUGAGUGAGACCACACGAGCAAAGUGUGAAGCUGUUAUUCAAGCAGAAGAAGCAAAUAGUCGUGAAAUGCAGCUUAAGUACAGG
This is a non-coding RNA of Cherax quadricarinatus, 234 nucleotides long. NCBI's taxonomy places the organism in Eukaryota, Metazoa, Arthropoda, Malacostraca, Decapoda, Parastacidae. The record is from RefSeq and is a predicted model, not a curated record.